GCACUGCUGAAGAGUCCCAAACUAGGAGGAAACAGCUGUUCAGUGC
This is a non-coding RNA of Trichobilharzia regenti, 46 nucleotides long. The record is from Rfam. NCBI's taxonomy places the organism in Eukaryota, Metazoa, Platyhelminthes, Trematoda, Strigeidida, Schistosomatidae.